UGCCGUCCUGUGUUUCCUAUUUUUGUGAAAAUGAUAAGUAUGACACCCCAGAACGUUGGUGUUGUCAUCAUUUUCUCAAGAAUUCGACUGUCGAGCGAAGAAUGCGCUAGCUGACAAGUUACAACAACUUUCAGUAGCGAGUGAUGGCAGAAGGCGGAGGAGGCCGCAGGGCGAGCGGCCGUUCCAAUGCUCCGCCUCCCGUCGCAAACCAGGAUGAAUUUACCUGGGGUAAAAAUGCAGUAUAUUUAAUGAUGUAGGGAUAAAUGGCUCUCUCUGUCUGUUUGGUUCUGGUAUAUAAGAGAAAAUACUGUUAAGAUUUUUUGCUAUAGUAUUGAAAAUACAAUAUAUUGUUUUUUUAAAAACAUUUAUCAUAACCCUCUAUAUUUACUUGGAAGGAGAGUGAUCAGGAAGAUGAUGACCUGUAGGGAUUUGCUGUGAGACGUAGGUGAAAUUUUGAUGAGUUAGGGAAUGGAGAGAGGGUGGGACCUUAA
Molecule: long non-coding RNA, 491 nt
Organism: Schistocerca cancellata (South American locust)
Lineage: Eukaryota; Metazoa; Arthropoda; Insecta; Orthoptera; Acrididae
Exons: 3
Source: RefSeq, a predicted model, not a curated record